Molecule: ribosomal RNA, 517 nt
Filed under: uncultured Glomus
Lineage: Eukaryota; Fungi; Glomeromycota; Glomeromycetes; Glomerales; Glomeraceae
Description: SSU rRNA
Rfam family: Eukaryotic small subunit ribosomal RNA
Source: RNAcentral
AGCAGCCGCGGUAAUUCCAGCUCCAAUAGCGUAUAUUAAAGUUGUUGCAGUUAAAAAGCUCGUAGUUGAAUUUCGGGAUCAAGUCGUCGGUCGUGCUCAGGUACGUACUGGCGUCAUUGAUUUCUCCCUUCUGACGAACCAUGAUGUCAUUAAUUUGGUGUUAUGGGAAAUCAGGACUGUUACUUUGAAAAAAUUAGAGUGUUUAAAGCAGGCUCACGCUUGAAUACAUUAGCAUGGAAUAAUGAAAUAGGACGUUCGAUCCUAUUUUGUUGGUUUUAGGAUCAACGUAAUGAUUAAUAGGGAUAGUUGGGGGCAUUAGUAUUCAAUUGUCAGAGGUGAAAUUCUUGGAUUUAUUGAAGACUAACUACUGCGAAAGUCAUUUGCCAAGGAUGUUUUCAUUAAUCAAGAACGAAAGUUAGGGGAUCGAAGACGAUCAGAUACCGUCGUAAGUCUUAAACCAUAAACUAUGCCGACUAGGGAUCGGAUGAUGUUAAUUCUUUAANGUACUCAUUCGGCG